UAUGCUUUAGUAUAUGGUGUACAUUAAUUUUUGAUAUUAAAAGAAAGAGUUUAAUUCUAUUAAGCAUAA
This 69-nucleotide transfer RNA is filed under the name Aphthona albertinae. RNAcentral's name for it is "tRNA-Gln". It matches the Rfam family "tRNA". From Rfam's summary of the family: Transfer RNA (tRNA) molecules are approximately 80 nucleotides in length. The record is from RNAcentral. Lineage: Eukaryota; Metazoa; Arthropoda; Insecta; Coleoptera; Chrysomelidae.